Monomorium pharaonis (pharaoh ant) is the source of this 1521-nucleotide long non-coding RNA. RefSeq lists it as uncharacterized. The transcript has 2 exons. NCBI's taxonomy places the organism in Eukaryota, Metazoa, Arthropoda, Insecta, Hymenoptera, Formicidae. The record is from RefSeq and is a predicted model, not a curated record.
ACUGCCAUGUGUUACUAAUAUGCAAUAAUUAUACUUAUUUACAGUGAGCUAUUUUCAUUAUUUAUAUAAUUAUAAGUAUUUUUAUUACAUAAUUAUGAUGUAGAUUUUCUAAUUUAUAUAUAAUUUAAAUGGUUUUAUAUUUCAGAGAUAUUUCGGGCAUAACAAUAAUGCAUAUCCAGAGUAAAGAUUCUUCAAUAAUAAAGUCAACGUAAUAAAUUAAAAUUAUUUUAUAUAAAUUAGAUUUCUUUGAAUAUUUACACAUAGUAACUUUUAAAUUAAUUAGUAAUAAUCGAUUUUUUCUCGAUGUUUAUGGAAAAUAAUCGAUUGUUAUUUUAUACUAUUGCGAAUUAAUUGAUUGUCUACGAUCGAUCAUUUAAAGAGUCGAUUAUUUAGCAAUCGAUUAUUUUUUUUAACAUCGCCCAUCUCUAAUUGGGUGCGUUUUGCAUUAUUGAAUUAGGGGUGCGUUCCGUUUCACGCAUAGACCGCAUGAGACAACGCCUGCGUUCAAAAAUAGCUUUAGCUGGUGUUGGGGAAAAAAAGAUUAAGUUGGUAGUAUUGAGAAUUCCCAACGAGGUUGUUAUGCUGAGUCAGUUCAAUACUACCCUAGUAGUCUGUACUUUGUCUCAUUUAAAUGGACCUUAAUUCUUGUUCUGCGGGUAUGCAUAAGUAUCAGGCCUCUGGCACUCGCUUAUAUUUUCAAGCAAAAAUGUGACCUCCUUAUUGUUCGAGAUCCGCUAGGGGCGCUGGUAGUAACAUAGCCCUCUAACCUAUUGCAGCGUGGUGCAACGCGUGAACACACGCAAGUGAUAAAUAGUGAUAGCAAGUGAUAGUGAUAAAUAUAUCUUGAUAAAUAGUGAACGUUUACAGAAACUAGUAAAACGAGAAGCAUGCCACAUUGCAUAGCUCCGGGAUGUACUUCCAAAUAUAAAUCGAAUUCAGAGAAAGUACAUUUUUUUAUUGUGCCAAAGGACGAAAAUAUAAGAAAAUUAUGGCAAGAUGCAAUUCGAAGAAAAAACUAUAGUGCGGGCAGGACAAUCUCUGUGUGAAAAACAUUUUAUGGCCCAAGAUAUAUUGUGGAAGCGUGAACUAACAGGUCCUGAUGGACAAGUACUCGGCGUUUCAUAUUAUAAAUAACCAAGGUUGCGGAAAGGCACCGUACCGUCACAAUUUCAUGGGCAGAAAUUACUGUGGAUAACACACUACUUCACAAACAGACACAAAUGGUACAUGAAAUAGUACAACAGUGCAAAGAAGAAAAUGCACAAGAAAUAGUAUAAAUAAGCCUAAAUUCUCAUUUAUAGAUUUGAUAGCUUGUACUACAUUGCAAUUACCAGUAAAUUGGUCUAGAUGUACUUUCAUCUGUAAUGGAACUAAAAUUGAAUCAUUUGUCAUGGUACUAAUGUAUAAAAAUAGAAAACAGUUUUGUCACUAAAAAUAUCAAAGAACUUAUUGUACAAGAAAACUUAUAUUUAACUAAUAAACUUAUAUCUAACUUAUAUCUACACUAUUUAUACAUUUGUA